RNAcentral lists this ribosomal RNA (495 nucleotides) under uncultured bacterium. RNAcentral's name for it is "partial 16S ribosomal RNA". It matches the Rfam family "Bacterial small subunit ribosomal RNA", at positions 28 to 507 of the family's 1533-position model. The record is from RNAcentral.
GAUGAACGCUGGCGGCGUGCCUAAUACAUGCAAGUCGAACGCUGAAGGAGGAGCUUGCUCUUCUGGAUGAGUUGCGAACGGGUGAGUAACGCGUAGGUAACCUGCCUGGUAGCGGGGGAUAACUAUUGGAAACGAUAGCUAAUACCGCAUGACAACAGUUAUUGCAUGAUAACUGUUUAAAAGGUGCAACUGCUCCACUACCAGAUGGACCUGCGUUGUAUUAGCUAGUUGGUGAGGUAACGGCUCACCAAGGCGACGAUACAUAGCCGACCUGAGAGGGUGAUCGGCCACACGGGGACGUGGACACGGCCCAGACGCCUACGGGAGGCAGCAGUAGGGAAUCUUAGGCAAUGGACGGAAGUCUGACCGAGCAACGCCGCGUGAGUGACGAAGGUUUUCGGAUCGUAAAGCUCUGUUGUAAGAGAAGAACGAGUGUGAGAGUGGAAAGUUCACAAUGUGACGGUAUCUUACCAGAAAGGGACGGCUAACUACGUG